CAAAUCCUCUUUAUCUCCUUCUCCUACUUGAGCUAGCUCGAUCUCCAAUGAUGAUAUAAUAGAUCUCUGCAACGAAAAAUUGUCAUCGGUAAGGGCAAAAGCAAGGAGAGGAUUAGGAAGAGAUCGGGAAGUGAAAGCGAAGAAGAGGCUAAGAAGGUUCCAUCAUUCGCCUCAGCAAAUCUGACUGAUUUCGUCGAUAAGAAAGCUGACACGUCACCAACACAUCGGUGCAGACAAAGCUCGCAUCUUAGCCUUGGAUAUGUGGGCUACUCACUUCAACAGUCCAACAAGGUUGGAGAUCAAAGAGAAGAAUCCAGGAGCUUGGAAAUGGUUCGAUCAAAUCACCAUAUAGAACAGCUCGAAUAGCCA
This is a long non-coding RNA of Camelina sativa (false flax), 369 nucleotides long. RefSeq lists it as uncharacterized. The record is from RefSeq and is a predicted model, not a curated record. NCBI's taxonomy places the organism in Eukaryota, Viridiplantae, Streptophyta, Magnoliopsida, Brassicales, Brassicaceae.